UGGCUCAGUUGGUAGAGCAUGGUGUUUGCAAUGCCAGGGUUGUGGGUUUGAGUCCCAC
Non-coding RNA from Salmo salar (Atlantic salmon), 58 nucleotides. The record is from Rfam. Lineage: Eukaryota; Metazoa; Chordata; Actinopteri; Salmoniformes; Salmonidae.